GGGAAUUCAUAAAAUAAGGUAAGUAGACCCAUAUAUGGGUGAUGAUGAGGAGGAGUGUGUGAACUCGAUACACUGAAUAACGUCUCAAAAAUAACGGCGUCUCAAAAAUUUCAGAUAUAGAGAGAGAGGCAGAGCAGAAACUGAAAGUUUUGCAGAGAUAGAGAGAGACAUGCAGAGAAAGGUGACACGAGGCCGUCAGCGUGAAGGGUUCUGGUGGAGUGAAAAUCCAAUUGGUCUGGAGAGAAGUCCUAGUUCUAGCUGGGCCUUUUAUGGUGAUUGGUCCCUAAAGAGAAAGUCUGUUGGCCACGAUGCAAGGUCAAGAUAGCACCUCCAAUGCCUUUCCAGGAACCUUUUAUUUGGAUAAUGGGUCCAAUGGCAUCAAUCUUCGACAAAAUGAGAAUAAUGUAGUUCCAGCUGAUGCUUCUGUUUAUCAUGGCCAUCCUGUCAUGGGUUGGAUGAGUCAAUCUAGUUCUAGCAUGAACAACCAAACCCUUGUUCGAUUUCGGGAUUUAUUAGCUGAAGAUGGGUUGCCAUCUAAUGGGAUGGAUCAAUCUACUUCUAGGGAGAACCCCCAAUCUCCGGUUCGAUUUCUGGAUUUAUUAGCUGAAGAUGGGUUGCCAUCUAAUGGGAUGGAUCAAUCUACUUCUAGGGAGAACCCCCAAUCUCCGGUUCGAUUUCUGGAUUUAUUAGCUGAAGAUGGGUUGCUGUCUAAUGGGAUCGAUGAAUCUACUUCUGGUGUGAACACCCAAACUCCAGUUCGAUUUCAGGAUUUAUUAGCUGAAGAUAGUUUGAUGUCUUCCCCUGUUGCUAGUCCUGGAACUGGUCAGAGUUUGGAAGAAAGGCAUUCCGGGCCACUAAUUGCUCCCUUUCGACAAAGUGUUGACAUGAGCCUAGGAAAUGGCUGUUUCACUAACAGGUUAUUGCCUUUGCAACAGGCUAGUUCUAGUGCUUUCCCUCAGAACUUAGACUUAAAUGCAGCAUUUGGCAGCAACAGCAUAGAUGCCAAUCUGAAUACAGUUACAGAUUUGUGUCCAAGUACAUUUAAACCAGGUGGAUCAGAUGUUGAUAAAAAUCUAUCUGCCAGUGAUUCUUCUAAUUCUAGUCCCCUUGUGAUUUCUUCUGGAAUUGCGGGAUAUGUGGUGGAAGAAAAUGAGGAUGGAGAAGGUCGUUCACCGGAUGGUAGGCGUCUUUCAUGCAAGAGAAGAGCAGCCGAAGAUGCUUCUGGACAACUUUCUUUGGGUAGAAGCUCAAGAUCCACCCAACAAGCUGUUCCUACUCAAGAAAAUAAUACUAGAAGAUUGAAUUUAUCAACUACAGAUAAUCAUCCAAAUGUCAGGUAUUCGGAGCAGCUGGAUGCUGGAGUUGCGGUUGCUUUAGAGGCAACUCCUGUCAUGCAUCAAACUUCAAGCGCAGCAGGAGGUGAACUUGGAGCUCGUGCAGUUGCGAGCUCUUACAUUCAUCAAGCCUUAGCAAUGGUAGGAGAAGCUGAGCAGUCCCAAAGAAAUAUCCAUCUGAGAAGAAGAGUGAAUCAUCAAGAUUUUGUGCCAGCUAACUUUGCAACAUGGACCGCUAGGAAUUCUCCUCCACAAUUACGUGGUCAACCAGCUGUUCAUUCCUCACUUGAUUUUGUUCCAAACACAAGCUCAGUGACAAGAAUAGUUCACCCUACUCCUCCAAUGCAGCAGCCUGUCCAUGAUUCAUAUUCUUCAGAAACUUUGCAGCAGGGGAAUGCAAUCACCAGGUCAAGAACUGUUUUGCCGUCCACUUCUGUUUUUACUGUAAACAGAGGAGAUGCAACACUUUUAGAAGACAACUCAAGGAACAAUCAAAGAAAUGACAUGCUUACUCCUGAAUUUCAAAGGGGAAAUUUGGAACAUUUGUUAACAAACCCGAACUUUGUCCUUGGCACAAACUCUCCUGGAAAUAUUGCAUCCAAUUCUAGAAAUAGUUCUACUUUUCAUGUUCGCCAAUCAUCGGCGCCCAUCUUGUUCCCCGAAAGCAACAUGGCUCAGCAAUAUAUGGAGAGAACCUCAGACAUUGUCAAUGACAUUGAGGCUCAAAGGCAAGGUAGUUACUACCCACGACAUUUGGGUAUUGCUGAAAGAGAGUGGGAAUUAUCGAUGAGAGGUGGUAAUUCAAGGGCUUAUCAUGUACCUCUUAGAUCAGGAUUGACAAUACAAGCUGAGAGACAAAGUGAUGGCAAUCCUGAUGUGCCAAUGCGCUCUUUGACUGCUACUCAGAGGAGAAUGAGACUGUUAUCUGAGCUUCGGGUUCACAAUGCUGUGUCACUUCUGCGUAGGGAGCGCCUCUUUCAGUAUGCGGAUUUGUUGAUCAACCGUUCAGUGUUGUUUGGUGUACCUGAAGAGAAUGAUCUUCAUGAAGAUAUGCGUCUAGAUGUGGAUAACAUGUCUUACGAGGAACUACUGGCCCUAGAGGAGCGAAUUGGAAAUGUUUGCACUGGACUAAGUGAAGAUGCUAUUCAGGCACAUAUGAAGCCUCACAAGUAUGAAGCAACUGCAGUAGGGCCUCUGAAAGAUGAACCAUGCUGCAUCUGUCAGGAGGAUUAUGCUGAUGGUGAAGAUCUUGGAAAGCUGAACUGUGGGCAUGAAUUUCAUUUUAACUGCAUUAAACAGUGGCUUGUCCAGAAGAAUAACUGCCCCAUCUGCAAAAAGACAGGGUUUGAAGUUUGAGAUUGUUAAUUUCAGGACUUCUUUCUACAAUAAAGAUCACAUGACAUGCUAUGGAGAUUCUCUCCUGUCCAUGGAUCAUCCUUCUUGGCAACUUUUUACAUUAUGUUUUCUUGUUUUAAGGGAUGAUCAUCAAUAACUACAGUAGGCAACAAGUCCAUGAGCUGCCUCAUGCACUUGCUGCUUCUAUUUUUAUUUUCUAAUGUUUAAGAUUCUGCAAUGACAUUCAGUCUAAAGGUUUUGGGGACCAAAAACUUGGAAAGGCACCCUUUCAUGUGAAAAGGGGCUUUGGCAGCUAGACCUUCCAAAUUUAUCUUUACUGUUAUAAACUAUUUCUUUGGUUUGCUAUGUCUUUUGCCUAGUUUAUUUGGUGUUGC
RNAcentral lists this unclassified non-coding RNA (3064 nucleotides) under Hevea brasiliensis (rubber tree). Lineage: Eukaryota; Viridiplantae; Streptophyta; Magnoliopsida; Malpighiales; Euphorbiaceae. The record is from RNAcentral.